AAAUUGAAGAGUUUGAUCAUGGCUCAGAUUGAACGCUGGCGGCAGGCCUAACACAUGCAAGUCGAACGGUAACAGGAAACAGCUUGCUGUUUCGCUGACGAGUGGCGGACGGGUGAGUAAUGUCUGGGAAACUGCCUGAUGGAGGGGGAUAACUACUGGAAACGGUAGCUAAUACCGCAUAACGUCGCAAGACCAAAGAGGGGGACCUUCGGGCCUCUUGCCAUCGGAUGUGCCCAGAUGGGAUUAGCUAGUAGGUGGGGUAAAGGCUCACCUAGGCGACGAUCCCUAGCUGGUCUGAGAGGAUGACCAGCCACACUGGAACUGAGACACGGUCCAGACUCCUACGGGAGACAGCAGUGGGGAAUAUUGCACAAUGGGCGCAAGCCUGAUGCAGCCAUGCCGCGUGUAUGAAGAAGGCCUUCGGGUUGUAAAGUACUUUCAGCGGGGAGGAAGGGAGUAAAGUUAAUACCUUUGCUCAUUGACGUUACCCGCAGAAGAAGCACCGGCUAACUCCGUGCCAGCAGCCGCGGUAAUACGGAGGGUGCAAGCGUUAAUCGGAAUUACUGGGCGUAAAGCGCACGCAGGCGGUUUGUUAAGUCAGAUGUGAAAUCCCCGGGCUCAACCUGGGAACUGCAUCUGAUACUGGCAAGCUUGAGUCUCGUAGAGGGGGGUAGAAUUCCAGGUGUAGCGGUGAAAUGCGUAGAGAUCUGGAGGAAUACCGGUGGCGAAGGCGGCCCCCUGGACGAAGACUGACGCUCAGGUGCGAAAGCGUGGGGAGCAAACAGGAUUAGAUACCCUGGUAGUCCACGCCGUAAACGAUGUCGACUUGGAGGUUGUGCCCUUGAGGCGUGGCUUCCGGAGCUAACGCGUUAAGUCGACCGCCUGGGGAGUACGGCCGCAAGGUUAAAACUCAAAUGAAUUGACGGGGGCCCGCACAAGCGGUGGAGCAUGUGGUUUAAUUCGAUGCAACGCGAAGAACCUUACCUGGUCUUGACAUCCACGGAAGUUUUCAGAGAUGAGAAUGUGCCUUCGGGAACCGUGAGACAGGUGCUGCAUGGCUGUCGUCAGCUCGUGUUGUGAAAUGUUGGGUUAAGUCCCGCAACGAGCGCAACCCUUAUCCUUUGUUGCCAGCGGUCCGGCCGGGAACUCAAAGGAGACUGCCAGUGAUAAACUGGAGGAAGGUGGGGAUGACGUCAAGUCAUCAUGGCCCUUACGACCAGGGCUACACACGUGCUACAAUGGCGCAUACAAAGAGAAGCGACCUCGCGAGAGCAAGCGGACCUCAUAAAGUGCGUCGUAGUCCGGAUUGGAGUCUGCAACUCGACUCCAUGAAGUCGGAAUCGCUAGUAAUCGUGGAUCAGAAUGCCACGGUGAAUACGUUCCCGGGCCUUGUACACACCGCCCGUCACACCAUGGGAGUGGGUUGCAAAAGAAGUAGGUAGCUUAACCUUCGGGAGGGCGCUUACCACUUUGUGAUUCAUGACUGGGGUGAAGUCGUAACAAGGUAACCGUAGGGGAACCUGCGGUUGGAUCACCUCCUUA
This 1542-nucleotide ribosomal RNA is filed under the name Escherichia coli str. 'clone D i14'. RNAcentral's name for it is "bacterial SSU rRNA". It matches the Rfam family "Bacterial small subunit ribosomal RNA". RNAcentral also lists the same sequence under 1 other name. Lineage: Bacteria; Pseudomonadati; Pseudomonadota; Gammaproteobacteria; Enterobacterales; Enterobacteriaceae. The record is from RNAcentral.